RNAcentral lists this transfer RNA (68 nucleotides) under marine eukaryotic metagenome. It matches the Rfam family "tRNA". Rfam says of the family: Transfer RNA (tRNA) molecules are approximately 80 nucleotides in length. Their secondary structure includes four short double-helical elements and three loops (D, anti-codon, and T loops). Further hydrogen bonds mediate the characteristic L-shaped molecular structure. tRNAs have two regions of fundamental functional importance: the anti-codon, which is responsible for specific mRNA codon recognition, and the 3' end, to which the tRNAs corresponding amino acid is attached (by aminoacyl-tRNA synthetases). tRNAs cope with the degeneracy of the genetic code in two manners: having more than one tRNA (with a specific anti-codon) for a particular amino acid; and 'wobble' base-pairing, i.e. permitting non-standard base-pairing at the 3rd anti-codon position. The record is from RNAcentral.
GCGUAUAGCUCAGUCGGUAGAGCGGCGGUCUCCAAAACCGUAGGUCGGGGGUUCAAGUCCUCCUGCGC